UACGUAGGGGCGCAAGCGUUUAUCCGGAAUUAUUGGGCGUAAAGAGCUCGUAGGCGGUUUGUCGCGUCUGCCGUGAAAGUCCGGGGCUCAACUCCGGAUCUGCGGUGGGUACGGGCAGACUAGAGUGAUGUAGGGGGAGACUGGAAUUCCUGGUGUAGCGGUGAAAUGCGCAGAUAUCAGGAGGAACACCGAUGGCGAAGGCAGGUCUCUGGGCAUUAACUGACGCUGGGGGAGCGAAAAGCAUGGGGGAGCGAACAGG
This 259-nucleotide ribosomal RNA is filed under the name uncultured bacterium. Its description in RNAcentral is "partial 16S ribosomal RNA". It matches the Rfam family "Bacterial small subunit ribosomal RNA", at positions 524 to 776 of the family's 1533-position model. The record is from RNAcentral.